This 481-nucleotide ribosomal RNA is filed under the name uncultured Leptothrix sp. Its description in RNAcentral is "bacterial SSU rRNA". It matches the Rfam family "Bacterial small subunit ribosomal RNA", at positions 1 to 488 of the family's 1533-position model. The record is from RNAcentral. Lineage: Bacteria; Pseudomonadati; Pseudomonadota; Betaproteobacteria; Burkholderiales; Sphaerotilaceae.
UGAGUUUGAUCCUGGCUCAGAUUGAACGCUGGCGGUAUGCCUUACACAUGCAAGUCGAACGGUAGAGGGGCAACCCUUGAGAGUGGCGAACGGGUGAGUAAUACAUCGGAACGUGCCCAGUCGUGGGGGAUAACGUAGCGAAAGCUACGCUAAUACCGCAUACGACCCGAGGGUGAAAGCGGGGGACUCGCAAGAGCCUCGCGCGAUUGGAGCGGCCGAUGGCAGAUUAGGUAGUUGGUGGGGUAAAGGCCCACCAAGCCUGCGAUCUGUAGCUGGUCUGAGAGGACGACCAGCCACACUGGGACUGAGACACGGCCCAGACUCCUACGGGAGGCAGCAGUGGGGAAUUUUGGACAAUGGGCGAAAGCCUGAUCCAGCCAUACCGCGUGCGGGAAGAAGGCCUUCGGGUUGUAAACCGCUUUUGUCAGGGAAGAAAUCCUUUGGGUUAAUACCUCGGAGGGAUGACGGUACCUGAAGAAUA